AGCCGGGCGCGCGGGGUCUUCAGUGUUUUAAUUUGGGGGAGUCGCGUGGUGCCAGCCAGACUUUGAAUUGAACCUGAAUCUGCUGCGUGACUUGGAUCAAGGGACUUCAGAUUGCAUGGCUGCACCGCACACGUUACGGAGGCCACGUGUUCUGGGGGGUGGGCUAUAGACUUAGUCAUUCACGUUCUGAGUGGUAAGGAGGACUACAAGGGCGGCUGUUUCCGGCCUCUGGACGCUGGGUUCCGGUGGGCAGGAAUGAUGCUCAGGGCCGGGCCUGGUGGCCUUGGGGCUGGGCCGCGGCUGGGGUUGACCUGUGCGACGCAGUGGCCCUUAUCGAAGCUGCAGCUGCUUCCGCGUAGCUGCUGCGGUCAAAAAGGAGCCCAGAGUGACAGUUUUCCUUGACGGUCGCCGUUCCGUUUGCUGUAACUGAUCUGCAACAUUUCAGGAAAAGACAAUUCUCAUUGUUGUAUCUGCUGUUUCUCACAUAAACGGGUCCUUAUUCAAGUUGGCAUGUCUCCAGAGGCCAGCAGAAAUGUUGGUAGUGUGCAGCGAUUUCCAACCGGUGUGUCACGAAUUUUUAAGACGAUGCAAUACCGGGGCACUGAUCUCUCUACCCUUAGAUGGUUUAGUCUGUGCCAUGAGAUGGAAAGGUUGAAUGUUGCUGUGAUAGGGACUUGCCUAUAGAAUGAACACAAUAAGGCUUUUGGGAAGUAGCUUGUUGAGGCCCACCAAACUAGUAUGGGGGGCUUAGACAUCAAUAUGGGGAAACCCAGUGGCAAGCAGCACAGGUCUUGGCCAUGCUUUAGGUCAUUGCCCUCGGGAGUUAAAGGCGUUAAUACCAGGAUCAAAGGACAGUAAAACGUAUAUGAUUCUCCAGACCAAGAAAGAUCAUUCAUGACAGUUUCUGUUCUUGUCUUCGCGGUGCCAGAUGAAGCUUGCGGGAUGCUUCAAGUUGAUUCUGCCGGGUGAGCACUCUGGAGUCAUGACAGUGAUGGACGCAACCACUGCAGGACCUGGUAGGUUUCUUGUGAGGCUUCAUUUGAGAGCUGCCUGGUGGGUCGGGGCAGCAUGUUCCCAAGGGCUGUGGCUGGCUGUAGCCAUAGGCUCUCCAACUGCAUGCGAGAGCAACCUGGAGAGACUUUGACAGUGCAGAUUGCCUCCCUGUUUCUUGGAGCGUCUGAUAAUGACAUCACUGAGAAUACCAGCCUGUUGCUGCUCCUGUGCUUUAGAAUAAGAUCUGUUACCAGGAAACUGUCUUUAUCUGUAAUUAAGGAUCUACAGGUUGGGAGAGCUCUAUGGUAAGAAGGAAGCUAAAGACAACUGUGUGAAGGUGAUGGGACUGUUCUACUUACAUCUCAGCUCCUCCAUGCUCCAAGGACUGCUGGUUUUUGAAAUAGGCCUUUUGUCCCCCCUUAUUGUGGGGCAGGUUCCUUAUUCAUCCUGCCCUGCAGCAUGGGUUGUCUUGUGCUGCAUUCCCUUAAUAAAUUCGUGAUGUAA
Long non-coding RNA from Pipistrellus kuhlii (Kuhl's pipistrelle), 1497 nucleotides. RefSeq lists it as uncharacterized. The record is from RefSeq and is a predicted model, not a curated record. The transcript has 5 exons. Lineage: Eukaryota; Metazoa; Chordata; Mammalia; Chiroptera; Vespertilionidae.